CAACAGGGAUUGCCCUAGUAACGGCGAGUGAAGCGGCAACAGCUCAAAUUUGAAAUCUGGCUCUCGGGCCCGAGUUGUAAUUUGUAGAGGAUGACUUUGAUGCGGUGCCUUCCGAGUUCCCUGGAACGGGACGCCAUAGAGGGUGAGAGCCCCGUCUGGUUGGAUGCCAAAUCUCUGUAAGUCUCCUUCGACGAGUCGAGUAGUUUGGGAAUGCUGCUCUAAAUGGGAGGUAUAUGUCUUCUAAAGCUAAAUACCGGCCAGAGACCGAUAGCGCACAAGUAGAGUGAUCGAAAGAUGAAAAGCACUUUGAAAAGAGAGUUAAAAAGUACGUGAAAUUGUUGAAAGGGAAGCGUUUAUGACCAGACUUGGGCUUGGUUAAUCAUCUGGGGUUCUCCCCAGUGCACUUUUCCAGUCCAGGCCAGCAUCAGUUUUCGCCGGGGGAUAAAGGCUUCGGGAAUGUGGCUCCCCUCGGGGAGUGUUAUAGCCCGUUGUGUAAUACCCUGGCGGGGACUGAGGUUCGCGCUUCUGCAAGGAU
Molecule: ribosomal RNA, 535 nt
Filed under: Fusarium poae
Lineage: Eukaryota; Fungi; Ascomycota; Sordariomycetes; Hypocreales; Nectriaceae
Also listed under: 2 other names
Description: eukaryotic LSU rRNA
Rfam family: Eukaryotic large subunit ribosomal RNA
Source: RNAcentral